AGCGAACGCUGGCGGCAGGCUUAACACAUGCAAGUCGAGCGGGCCCUUCGGGGUCAGCGGCAGACGGGUGAGUAACACGUGGGAACGUACCCUUUGGUUCGGAAUAACGCCGGGAAACUAGCGCUAAUACCGGAUACGCCCUUUUGGGGAAAGGCUUGCUGCCGAAGGAUCGGCCCGCGUCUGAUUAGCUAGUUGGUGGGGUAAUGGCCUACCAAGGCGACGAUCAGUAGCUGGUCUGAGAGGAUGAUCAGCCACACUGGGACUGCGACACGGCCCAGACUCCUACGGGAGGCAGCAGUGGGGAAUAUUGGACAAUGGGCGCAAGCCUGAUCCAGCCAUGCCGCGUGAGUGAUGAAGGCCUUAGGGUUGUAAAGCUCUUUUGUCCGGGACGAUAAUGACGGUACCGGAAGAAUAAGCCCCGGCUAACUUCGUG
Molecule: ribosomal RNA, 433 nt
Filed under: uncultured bacterium
Lineage: Bacteria
Description: partial 16S ribosomal RNA
Rfam family: Bacterial small subunit ribosomal RNA
Source: RNAcentral